RNAcentral lists this non-coding RNA (262 nucleotides) under Paenibacillus sp. RNAcentral's name for it is "T-box sequence". It matches the Rfam family "T-box leader". From Rfam's summary of the family: Uncharged tRNA acts as the effector for transcription antitermination of genes in the T-box leader family. T-boxes are found upstream of many aminoacyl-tRNA synthetase genes and some amino acid biosynthetic genes usually in Gram-positive bacteria. The record is from RNAcentral. Lineage: Bacteria; Bacillati; Bacillota; Bacilli; Caryophanales; Paenibacillaceae.
UGAAAUGCCAUGAUGGAGUAAAGUAAGCAGUACCUCUAUACAGGGAGGAAGCGCCGUUUGAUUGAGAGCGUUUCUAUAGAAACAGGCUGUUGAAGUUCCCUCCGGAGCAGUUCCUUGAACUUAAGUAGAGGGUACCGGUUCACGAUCCGUUACAUCGUUUAAAGUGAGAUAGUUAUGCUUUGCUCAGUAAUGAUAAGAGAUAUUAUGGAGCCAGAUGCAUGACUUCUAACAAGGGUGGUACCACGGUCUUUUCGUCCCUUUU